AAGUCGUAACAAGGUCUCCGUUGGUGAACCAGCGGAGGGAUCAUUACUGAGUGUAAAAACUCCCAAACCCAUUGUGAACAUACCUCUGUUGCUUCGGCGGAUGCGCCCCGGGCGCGCCCUCACAGGCGUGCCCCGGACCAAGGCGCCCGCCGGGGAACCGAAACUCUUGUUUUCUUAGAGAAUCUCUGAGUAUGAUUAUAAAUCAAAUCAAAACUUUCAACAACGGAUCUCUUGGCUCUA
The sequence is an unclassified non-coding RNA, 240 nucleotides long. The stretch from base 1 to 46 matches the Rfam family "Eukaryotic small subunit ribosomal RNA", at positions 1786 to 1831 of the family's 1831-position model.